This 460-nucleotide ribosomal RNA is filed under the name uncultured bacterium. RNAcentral's name for it is "partial 16S ribosomal RNA". It matches the Rfam family "Bacterial small subunit ribosomal RNA", at positions 338 to 795 of the family's 1533-position model. The record is from RNAcentral.
CCUACGGGUGGCAGCAGUGAGGAAUAUUGGUCAAUGGACGAGAGCCUGAACCAGCCAAGUAGCGUGAAGGAUGACUGCCCUAUGGGUCGUAAACUUCUUUUAUAUGGGAAUAAAAUGUUCCACGUGUGGGAUUUUGUAUGUACCAUAUGAAUAAGGAUCGGCUAACUCCUUGCCAGCAGCCGCGGUAAUACGGAGGAUCCGAGCGUUAUCCGGAUUUAUUGGGUUUAAAGGGAGCGUAGGUGGGUUGUUAAGUCAGUUGUGAAAGUUUGCGGCUCAACCGUACAAUUGCAGUUGAAACUGGCAGUCUUGAGUACACUAGAGGUGGGCGGAAUUCGUGGUGUAGCGGUGAAAUGCUUAGAUAUCACGAAGAACUCCGAUUGCGAAGGCAGCUCGCUGGACUGCAACUGACACUGAGGCUCGAAAGUGUGGGUAUCAAACAGGAUUAGAUACCCGGGUAGUC